Molecule: ribosomal RNA, 823 nt
Filed under: uncultured bacterium
Lineage: Bacteria
Description: bacterial SSU rRNA
Rfam family: Bacterial small subunit ribosomal RNA
Source: RNAcentral
CUCUUCGGGGAUGAUUAAACCGGCGCACGGGUGAGUAACACGUGAGUGACCUGCCUUUUAGACUGGAACAACUUACCGAAAGGUGAGCUAAUGCCGGAUGAGUUAUAUAAGUGCAUGUUUAUAUAGGAAAAGUUGGGGAGACCUGACGCUGAAAGAUGGACUCGCGUCCCAUUAGCUAGUUGGUAGGGUAAUGGCCUACCAAGGCGACGAUGGGUAGCCGGCCUGAGAGGGUGGCCGGCCACACUGGGACUGAGACACGGCCCAGACUCCUACGGGAGGCAGCAGUGGGGAAUUUUGCGCAAUGCUCGUAAGAGUGACGCAGCGACGCCGCGUGAAUGACGAAGGCCUUCGGGUCGUAAAGUUCUUUCGACAGGGAAGAAAAUGCCUAUAAGUAACUGUGUAUGUAUUGACGGUACCUGUAUAAGCAGCCCCGGCUAACUCCGUGCCAGCAGCCGCGGUAAUACGGAGGGGGCGAGCGUUGUUCGGAGUGACUGGGCGUAAAGAGCACGUAGGCGGUGUUGUAAGUCAUUAGUCAAAGACUAGAGCUCAACUUUAGUAAGGCUAGUGAUACUAUAAUACUAGAGUAUCAGAGAGGAUUGCAGAAUUCCUGGUGUAGCGGUGAAAUGCGUAGAUAUCAGGAGGAAUACCGUUAGCGAAGGCGGCAAUCUGGCUGGAAACUGACGCUGAGGUGCGAAAGCGUGGGUAGCAAACAGGAUUAGAUACCCUGGUAGUCCACGCUGUAAACGAUGGAUGCUAGGUGUUGGGCUUUUAAGUUCAGUGCCGCAGCAAACGCGAUAAGCAUCCCGCCUGGGGAGUACGUUUG